This 252-nucleotide ribosomal RNA is filed under the name uncultured bacterium. RNAcentral describes it as "partial 16S ribosomal RNA". It matches the Rfam family "Bacterial small subunit ribosomal RNA", at positions 524 to 776 of the family's 1533-position model. The record is from RNAcentral.
UACGUAGGGGGCAAGCGUUGUCCGGAAUCAUUGGGCGUAAAGCGCGCGUAGGCGGCCCGGUAAGUCCGCUGUGAAAGUCAAAGGCUUAACCUUUGAAUGUCAGCGGAUACUGUCGGGCUAGAGUCCGGAAGAGGCGAGUGGAAUUCCUGGUGUAGCGGUGGAAUGCGCAGAUAUCAGGAGGAACACCAACGGCGAAGGCAGCUCGCUGGGACGGUACUGACGCUGAGGCGCGAAAGCGUGGGAGCGAACAGG